Molecule: long non-coding RNA, 241 nt
Filed under: Lathyrus oleraceus (garden pea)
Lineage: Eukaryota; Viridiplantae; Streptophyta; Magnoliopsida; Fabales; Fabaceae
Description: Pisum sativum (pea) long non-coding RNA (PSAT_LNC022502)
Source: RNAcentral
AUGACUUUUAUUAAUGCUUUAUGUUUUUCAUUUGAAGAACGCCUUUGAUGCACGCGCGUCUCUCCACCAUCUGAUCAUCCACCUCAUUUAAUGAAUCAGAUCCAACGCGCCAGGCUUUUUCUUAAUUUCUGAAUUUCAUUUUAUUUUCUUUUAUUUCAUUUUAUUUCAAAAAUUCAUAUCUUCAUUUUAAAUCCAAAAAUAUGGGACCAAUUGCAUUAUUUCCCUUUUUAAUACUAGUUUC